Molecule: small RNA, 410 nt
Filed under: Histoplasma ohiense
Lineage: Eukaryota; Fungi; Ascomycota; Eurotiomycetes; Onygenales; Ajellomycetaceae
Description: hypothetical lncRNA
Source: RNAcentral
UGGCCUUCCUUGCAAAAAUGAGGUGUGGUGCAAUCCCACUCAUUCGAGCCACUUAUGAGAUGGCACCACAGAGAGCAGUACCGCGAGUUCCAGUGUGUUUUGGAGUAGCUGCAACGACGCCGUAUGGCGCUAACUGGCCAGGUCAUAAACGGGAAGCUUCUUCGAUAUCAACAAAGCAAUCUAUAAACCUCAGUUCGUCGAUCGCCUCCAAACUCUCGCUUGAUGGAAAAGUCACGGUAAUCACAGGAGGCAGUAGGGGAAUUGGAUUGGCCCUUGUUGAAGCAAUGGCUGGUCUCGGAAGUGAUGUCGCCAUUCUCGACAUUAUGGAGCCUCAGGUGGAUAUAGAAAAGCUGCAGAGCCAGUACAGCACUCACAUAAAACACUUCAAAACCGAUGUAACGCAAAAGGGG